GGGAUUCGAUGACGUCACUGGGCGCGCGUCCCCCUUCCCCACUGCCCAUGGCCCCGUCGGGGUUGGGUGGAAGCGGGAGGCCGCGGCGGGGUUCGAUCCCAGCUCCCACCCGCUGGGGUGACAUCCUCCGCCCAAGCCGGCCAGACAGCGCGGCCGCCUCGCCCUCUCCCGCCUCCCGGUCCCCUCCAGCCGGAAAAGGUCACCGCUGCCGGGGUGACCGCGGCUAUCUCUGCCCCGCAGGCGGUGCGGCCGCCUUGGGAAAGGUCUCUGCAAGGCGGGGGACUUCAUUAGCGGCUUCAACCGCGGUGGAUAAGCAAAGUUUCCUCAAGGGACUGUCCGGGUGCUGCAGGACGAGAAGAGACAGAAACAGGGCCCGGACUAGGGUGAACAUCUUGGGAGCAAAAAUUCAGUCAUCAAGAUAAAUAAUCUUCUAAUUCAAUAUUUGUUAAAUAUCCAAAUUAAUGGGAAAAAAUAAAUCUAUGAUGAACAAAA
Long non-coding RNA from Pan troglodytes (chimpanzee), 492 nucleotides. RefSeq lists it as uncharacterized. The record is from RefSeq and is a predicted model, not a curated record. Lineage: Eukaryota; Metazoa; Chordata; Mammalia; Primates; Hominidae. The transcript has 2 exons.